This 450-nucleotide ribosomal RNA is filed under the name uncultured bacterium. RNAcentral's name for it is "partial 16S ribosomal RNA". It matches the Rfam family "Bacterial small subunit ribosomal RNA", at positions 338 to 795 of the family's 1533-position model. The record is from RNAcentral.
CCUACGGGGGGCAGCAGUGGGGAAUUUUGGACAAUGGGGGCAACCCUGAUCCAGCCAUUCCGCGUGAGUGAAGAAGGCCUUCGGGUUGUAAAGCUCUUUCGGCAGGAACGAAACGGCGGGCUCUAACAUAGCCUGUCAAUGACGGUACCUGAAGAAGAAGCACCGGCUAACUACGUGCCAGCAGCCGCGGUAAUACGUAGGGUGCGAGCGUUAAUCGGAAUGACUGGGCGUGAAUGUGUCAGAGGGGGCUGAAAUCCCGGGGCUUAACCUGGGAACUGGGUUUGUGACUGCAAGGCUCGAGUGUGGCAGAGGGGGGUGGAAUUCCACGUGUAGCAGUGAAAUGCGUAGAGAUGUGGAGGAACACCGAUGGCGAAGGCAGCCCCCUGGGUCAACACUGACGCUCAUGCACGAAAGCGUGGGUAGCAAACAGGAUUAGAUACCCUGGUAGUC